UAAUUGGGCGUUAAGUUGCAGGGUAUAGACCCGAAACCCGGUGAUCUAGCCAUGGGCAGGUUGAAGGUUGGGUAACACUAACUGGAGGACCGAACCGACUAAUGUUGAAAAAUUAGCGGAUGACCUGUGGCUGGGGGUGAAAGGCCAAUCAAACCGGGAGAUAGCUGGUUCUCCCCGAAAGCUAUUUAGGUAGCGCCUCGUGAAUUCAUCUCCGGGGGUAGAGCACUGUUUCGGCUAGGGGGCCAUCCCGGCUUACCAACCCGAUGCAAACUGCGAAUACCGGAGAAUGUUAUCACGGGAGACACACGGCGGGUGCUAACGUCCGUCGUGAAGAGGGAAACAACCCAGACCGCCAGCUAAGGUCCCAAAGUCAUGGUUAAGUGGGAAACGAUGUGGGAAGGCCCAGACAGCCAGGAUGUUGGCUUAGAAGCAGCCAUCAUUUAAAGAAAGCGUAAUAGCUCACUGGUCGAGUCGGCCUGCGCGGAAGAUGUAACGGGGCUAAACCAUGCACCGAAGCUGCGGCAGCGAACGUAUCACUUAAAGCGAUUCAGCGGGUUACGAUUGACGGAGCGAAGCGACGUCAAAGCGUAUACAAAGUCGAGUCGGUUUAAGGAUACGUUCGUUGGGUAGGGGAGCGUUC
Molecule: ribosomal RNA, 640 nt
Filed under: Salmonella enterica subsp. enterica serovar Agona
Lineage: Bacteria; Pseudomonadati; Pseudomonadota; Gammaproteobacteria; Enterobacterales; Enterobacteriaceae
Description: partial 23S ribosomal RNA
Rfam family: Bacterial large subunit ribosomal RNA
Source: RNAcentral